ACGGGUGAGUAAUGUCUGGGAAACUGCCUGGAUGGAGGGGGAUAACUAACUGGAAACGGUAGCUAAUACCGCAUAACGUCGCAAGACCAAAGAGGGGGGACCUUCGGGCCUCUUGACCAUUCGGAUGUGCCCAGAUGGGAUUAGCUAGUAGGUGGGGUAAAGGCUCACCUAGGCGACGAUCCCUAGCUGGUCUGAGAGGAUGACCAGCCACACUGGAACUGAGACACGGUCCAGACUCCUACGGGAGGCAGCAUG
RNAcentral lists this ribosomal RNA (255 nucleotides) under uncultured bacterium. RNAcentral describes it as "partial 16S ribosomal RNA". It matches the Rfam family "Bacterial small subunit ribosomal RNA", at positions 102 to 353 of the family's 1533-position model. The record is from RNAcentral.